GGUAAAAUGGCUGAGUUAAAGCAUUAGACUGUAAAUCUAAACACAGGGGUGUAAUGCCUCUUUUUACCA
RNAcentral lists this transfer RNA (69 nucleotides) under Myrmecophaga tridactyla (giant anteater). RNAcentral's name for it is "tRNA-Tyr". It matches the Rfam family "tRNA". Rfam says of the family: Transfer RNA (tRNA) molecules are approximately 80 nucleotides in length. Their secondary structure includes four short double-helical elements and three loops (D, anti-codon, and T loops). Further hydrogen bonds mediate the characteristic L-shaped molecular structure. tRNAs have two regions of fundamental functional importance: the anti-codon, which is responsible for specific mRNA codon recognition, and the 3' end, to which the tRNAs corresponding amino acid is attached (by aminoacyl-tRNA synthetases). tRNAs cope with the degeneracy of the genetic code in two manners: having more than one tRNA (with a specific anti-codon) for a particular amino acid; and 'wobble' base-pairing, i.e. permitting non-standard base-pairing at the 3rd anti-codon position. The record is from RNAcentral. Lineage: Eukaryota; Metazoa; Chordata; Mammalia; Pilosa; Myrmecophagidae.